Molecule: long non-coding RNA, 124 nt
Filed under: Sitophilus oryzae (rice weevil)
Lineage: Eukaryota; Metazoa; Arthropoda; Insecta; Coleoptera; Curculionidae
Description: uncharacterized LOC115879256
Source: RNAcentral
GAAAAAUCUUUGAUAAGUGUAUCAACUGAAUUGACCAUUCAGGCUUCCUUAGCUGAACCAGUACAAAGUAUUUUUGAAAGAAUGUUAAAAGGACCUGCCACACAAAAAUCCAAUCUUCUGCUAC